RNAcentral lists this microRNA precursor (57 nucleotides) under Bos taurus (domestic cattle). RNAcentral describes it as "Bta-Mir-95_pre stem-loop". The record is from RNAcentral. Lineage: Eukaryota; Metazoa; Chordata; Mammalia; Artiodactyla; Bovidae.
CUCAAUAAAUGUUUGUUGAAUUGAGAUGCGCUAAAUUCAACGGGUAUUUAUUGAGCA